AACGAACGUUAGCGGCGCGCCUAACACAUGCAAGUCGAACACGACAGGGGCAACUCUGUUGAGUGGCGCACGGGUGAGUAACACGUAGGUAAUCUCCCCCCGAGUGGUGAAUAACCUUCCGAAAGGAGGGCUAAUACAGCAUAAGACCACCGCUGCGAAAGGAGCUGAGGUCAAAGCGGAGGAUCGCAAGACUUCGCGCUUGGGGAUGAGCCUGCGGCCCAUCAGGUAGUUGGCGGGGUAACAGGCCACCAAGCCUAAGACGGGUAGCUGGUCUGAGAGGAUGAGCAGCCACACUGGAACUGAGACACGGUCCAGACUCCUACGGGAGGCAGCAGUGGGGAAUCUUGCGCAAUGGACGAAAGUCUGACGCAGCGACGCCGCGUGGGUGAUGAAGGCCUUCGGGUUGUAAAGCCCUGUGGGGAGGGACGAAUAAGUUUCAGCUAAUACCUGAAGCGAUGACGGUACCUCCUUAGCAAGCACCGGCUAACUCUGUGCCAGCAGCCGCGGUAA
Molecule: ribosomal RNA, 510 nt
Filed under: uncultured bacterium
Lineage: Bacteria
Description: partial 16S ribosomal RNA
Rfam family: Bacterial small subunit ribosomal RNA
Source: RNAcentral